UGCACUCCAGUCUGGACAACAGAGCAAGACCCUGUUUCAAAAAAAAAAAAAGAAAAUCACCAUUUUUCCAACCCCAACGAAACUACUGAUUCAGGCAGGAUGCAAGAGAGCUGAUGCCAAAGGGUCACAAACAGAUUACUUUCAGACUGAGAGGGAAAAGCACACUCUGCUGAGGGUAGACAGCUGUCUGUCAUCCUAAGCCAACGUCAGACUCAGCAUCUCCAACAGUGGAACAACCUGCCAUCCUUGCCACAUCUCUGGAUGGGAAGCUACCCAAAGUGCAUGGCACCUUCUAUUAAGCAGCUUUGCCAAAAAGGUUUGACCUGAACCUGAUGCAGGGUCUAGCUUCCAGUUUCCAGGGGAUACAAGGGCCAGACUCAGAGAAACAAUAGAAGAUGCCACAAGGAAACAAUCUGACAAAUCCAGAUGGAACAAGACACCUGAACUCUAGUGAUGGGAUCACUACCCAUCCACAACCUCCAGUCACCUCCAAGACACCUUUGACGCCUCCACUUUCCCAG
RNAcentral lists this long non-coding RNA (521 nucleotides) under Homo sapiens (human). RNAcentral's name for it is "HSALNT0372339". Lineage: Eukaryota; Metazoa; Chordata; Mammalia; Primates; Hominidae. The record is from RNAcentral.